GAGAGAGAGAGAGAGUUUUGGGAAGAUUUUAUAGAUAUGUAAGUAUUUAAAAUAGAGAGAGAGAUAUGGAUCGGGGAAGAGAGGUGAAGAUGGAUCAUUCAAGAGAGGGAAGUGAUAUAGAGAUAGAGGGAUCAUUUGGAGGAAAUACAGAGGACAAGGAAUUCAGUUCAUUGAGAGAGCCACUCCUCAGGAACAGGAAAAACAAUACUUCCCAGAUUGCCAUUGUUGGUGCCAAUGUUUGCCCCAUUGAGAGUCUGGAUUAUGAGAUUGUGGAGAAUGAACUUUUCAAACAAGACUGGAGGUCUAGAAAGAAGGUUGAGAUAUGUCAAUACAUUUUUCUCAAGUGGACAUUUGCCCUCCUUAUUGGGUUGGGUACAGGACUUGUUGGCUUUUUCAAUAACCUUGCUGUUGAGAACAUAGCUGGUUUCAAACUUCUGUUGACUAACAGUCUCAUGCUUAAGGACAAGUAUUAUCUGGCAUUUGCUUUAUACGCUGGUUGUAACCUGAUUCUGGCCAUUGCUGCUGCUGUCCUCUGUGCUUAUGUUGCUCCUGCAGCAGCAGGCUCAGGCAUUCCAGAGGUUAAAGCAUACCUGAAUGGUGUAGAUGCUCCAUCUAUUCUGGCUCCUACUACUCUUUUUGUAAAGAUUUUUGGAUCCAUUUUUGGAGUUGCUGCCGGAUUUGUUGUUGGUAAGGAAGGACCUAUGGUGCACACUGGUGCUUGCAUUGCCUCCUUGCUUGGACAGGGUGGUUCUCGUAAGUACCAUUUAACUUGGAAGUGGCUGAGAUAUUUCAAAAAUGACCGGGACCGUAGAGACUUGGUUACUUGUGGUGCUGCUGCUGGUGUGGCAGCUGCUUUUCGUGCUCCUGUUGGUGGUGUUCUUUUUGCCCUUGAAGAAGCUGCUUCAUGGUGGAGAAGUGCUCUUCUUUGGAGGACUUUCUUUACAACUGCUGUUGUUGCAGUGGUGUUGAGAGGCUUCAUAGAAUUUUGCCGGACUGGAGAAUGCGGAUUAUUUGGGCAAGGAGGUCUGAUUAUGUUUGAUGUAAGUUCAGCAAAAGCCACUUACAACACAGCUGAUCUUCUGGCAGUUGUAUUCCUUGGAGUGUUGGGGGGAAUUUUGGGAAGCUUUUACAAUUACUGCAUUGACAAGGUCCUCCGCACUUAUAGCAUCAUCAAUGAGAGGGGUCCUUCGUUCAAGAUCCUGCUUGUGAUCAUCAUUUCCUUUUUGACCUCAUGUUGCUCUUAUGGCCUCCCAUGGCUCGCACCAUGCAUUCCCUGUCCCACUCACCUGUCAGAGAUAUGCCCCACUGAAGGUCGUUCUGGAAACUACAAGAAUUUCCAGUGUCCACCAAACUACUACAAUGACCUUGCUUCCCUUUUUUUCAACACCAAUGACGAUGCGAUACGCAAUUUGUUAACAUCAAGCACUGAAAAGAAAUUUAAGCUCGCACCCCUUCUGGUUUUCUUUGUUGCUACUUAUGGCCUUGGCAUAAUUACUUAUGGCAUUGCUAUUCCUUCUGGACUUUUCAUCCCUGUCAUUCUUGCUGGGGCCUCUUAUGGUCGCCUCGUUGGAAACCUGCUUGGUCCCCUCUCAAGUCUUGAUGUUGCUCUUUUUGCCUUGCUUGGAGCUGCCUCUUUCCUUGGGGGCACCAUGAGGAUGACAGUUUCUCUCUGUGUCAUACUUCUUGAACUCACUAAUGAUCUGUUGAUGCUUCCAUUGAUGAUGCUCGUUCUCCUCAUUUCAAAAACUGUAGCAGACUGUUUCAACAGGGGUGUUUAUGAUCAAAUAGUGAAGCUGAAAGGAUUACCUUACAUGGAAGCUCAUGCAGAACCAUAUAUGAGGAAUUUAGUUGCAAGUGAUGUUGUAUCUGGCCCGUUAAUUGCAUUUUCUGGGGUAGAAAGGGUAGGGAACAUAUUACAUGCUUUGAAAAUAACAGGCCACAAUGGAUUCCCUGUGAUUGAUGAGCCACCUUUCACAGAAGCUCCAGAGCUAUGUGGACUUGUUCUAAGGUCUCACCUGCUUGUGUUGCUCAAGGGAAAGAAGUUUACUAAGGAGAGGGUGAUGACAGGAUCAGGCAUUUUGAGUAUGUUUAAAGCACAUGAUUUUGCAAAGGCAGGUUCAGGCAAGGGGGUCAAGCUCGAGGAUUUGGAAUUUUCAGAGGAGGAUAUGGAGAUGUAUGUGGAUCUCCAUCCCAUUACUAAUACAUCUCCGUACACUGUGGUUGAAACCAUGUCUCUAGCUAAAGCUGCUGUUCUCUUCCGGGAGCUUGGCCUGAGACACUUGUGUGUGGUACCUAAGACACCAGGGAGGCCUCCAAUUGUUGGAAUCCUUACCAGGCAUGAUUUCGUGCCAGAGCACAUAUUAGGCCUCUGCCCGCAUUUGAAACCCCACAAGUAAAGAAAGCAAAAAGUAAUUAGAUCAAUUGCUGACUUCUCCAUUAUUUGUCAUUGUGCCAUUAUCAAAAUGCUAUUACUUUGUUGUUGCCCAUUUCAAUUUCUGGAGUUCUUUUGGAUGCACCAUAAUGUAUUUGCUGCAUAUUAGUUAGUCAAAUUUUAUUCCUUCGCAAAAACUGUGUAUUUAUAUCAUCAAUUUUGGGUUAUUUGGUUUGACUAGAUUAAAA
This 2619-nucleotide unclassified non-coding RNA is filed under the name Hevea brasiliensis (rubber tree). The record is from RNAcentral. Lineage: Eukaryota; Viridiplantae; Streptophyta; Magnoliopsida; Malpighiales; Euphorbiaceae.